Molecule: long non-coding RNA, 629 nt
Organism: Periophthalmus magnuspinnatus
Lineage: Eukaryota; Metazoa; Chordata; Actinopteri; Gobiiformes; Gobiidae
Exons: 4
Source: RefSeq, a predicted model, not a curated record
CCUGGUUUAAGUCCUGGUUUAAGUCCUGGUUUAAGUCCUGGUUUAGUCCUGGUUUAGUCCUGGUUUAAGUCCUGGUUUUAGUCCUGGUUUUAGUCCUGGUUUUAGUCCUGGUUUUAGUCCUGGUUUAGUCCUGGUUUAGUCCUGGUUUAGUCCUGGUUUAAGUCCUGGUUUAAGUCCUGGUUUAGUCCUGGUUUAGCCCUGGUUUAGUCCUGGUUUAGUCCUGGUUUAAGUCCUGGUUUAAGUCCUGGUUUAAGUCCUGGUUUAAGUCCUGGUUUUAGUCCUGGUUUUAGUCCUGGUUUUAGUCCUGGUUUAGUCCUGGUUUAGUCCUGGUUUAGUCCUGGUUUAAUCCUGGUUUAGUCCUGGUUUAGUCCUGGUUUAAGUCCUGGUUUUAGUCCUGGUUUUAGUCCUGGUUUUAGUCCUGGUUUAGUCCUGGUUUAGUCCUGGUUUAGUCCUGGUUUAAUCCUGGUUUUAGUCCUGGUUUUAGUCCUGGUUUAGUCCUGGUUUAGUCCUGGUUUAGUCCUGGUUUAAUCCUGGUUUUAGUCCUGGUUUUAGUCCUGGUUUAGUCCUGGUUUAGUCCUGGUUUAGUCCUGGUUUAGUCCUGGUUUAAGUCCUGGUUUAGUCCAUGUUUA